RNAcentral lists this ribosomal RNA (1734 nucleotides) under Pectobacterium carotovorum. RNAcentral describes it as "bacterial LSU rRNA". It matches the Rfam family "Bacterial large subunit ribosomal RNA", at positions 40 to 1768 of the family's 2925-position model. The record is from RNAcentral. Lineage: Bacteria; Pseudomonadati; Pseudomonadota; Gammaproteobacteria; Enterobacterales; Pectobacteriaceae.
UAGGAGCCGAUGAAGGACGGGACGAACACCGAUAUGCUUCGGGGAGCUGUAAGCAAGCUUUGAUCCGGAGAUUUCCGAAUGGGGAAACCCACCACUCGUAAUGGAGUGGUAUCCAUAUCUGAAUACAUAGGAUAUGAGAAGGCAGACCCGGGGAACUGAAACAUCUAAGUACCCGGAGGAAGAGAAAGCAAAUGCGAUUCCCUGAGUAGCGGCGAGCGAAACGGGACCAGCCCAAACCAAGAGGCUUGCCUCUUGGGGUUGUAGGACACUCUGUACGGAGUUACAAAGGAACGAGGUAGAUGAAGAGGUCUGGAAAGGCCCGCCAUAGGAGGUAACAGCCCUGUAGUCAAAACUUCGUUCUCUCCUGAGUGGAUCCUGAGUACGGCGGAACACGUGAAAUUCCGUCGGAAUCCGGGAGGACCAUCUCCCAAGGCUAAAUACUCCCUAGUGACCGAUAGUGAACCAGUACCGUGAGGGAAAGGUGAAAAGCACCCCGGAAGGGGAGUGAAAGAGAUCCUGAAACCGUGUGCCUACAAGUAGUCAGAGCCCGUUAACGGGUGAUGGCGUGCCUUUUGUAGAAUGAACCGGCGAGUUACGAUCCCGUGCAAGGUUAAGCAGAAGAUGCGGAGCCGCAGCGAAAGCGAGUCUGAAUAGGGCGAAUUGAGUACGUGGUCGUAGACCCGAAACCAGGUGAUCUACCCAUGUCCAGGGUGAAGUUCAGGUAACACUGAAUGGAGGCCCGAACCCACGCACGUUGAAAAGUGCGGGGAUGAGGUGUGGGUAGGGGUGAAAUGCCAAUCGAACCUGGAGAUAGCUGGUUCUCUCCGAAAUAGCUUUAGGGCUAGCCUCAAGGUAAGAGUCUCGGAGGUAGAGCACUGAUUGGACUAGGGGCCCCUACCGGGUUACCGAAUUCAGUCAAACUCCGAAUGCCGAUGACUUAUCCUUGGGAGUCAGACUGCGAGUGAUAAGAUCCGUAGUCGAAAGGGAAACAGCCCAGACCGCCAGCUAAGGUCCCAAAGUAUACGUUAAGUGGAAAAGGAUGUGGAGUUGCUUAGACAACCAGGAUGUUGGCUUAGAAGCAGCCACCAUUUAAAGAGUGCGUAAUAGCUCACUGGUCGAGUGACUCUGCGCCGAAAAUGUACCGGGGCUAAACGUAUCACCGAAGCUGCGGACUGUUCUUCGAACAGUGGUAGGAGAGCGUUCUAAGGGCUGUGAAGCAAGACCGGAAGGACUUGUGGAGCGCUUAGAAGUGAGAAUGCCGGUAUGAGUAGCGAAAGAGGGGUGAGAAUCCCCUCCACCGAAUGCCUAAGGUUUCCUGAGGAAGGCUCGUCCGCUCAGGGUUAGUCGGGACCUAAGCCGAGGCCGAAAGGCGUAGGCGAUGGAUAACAGGUUGAUAUUCCUGUACCACCUCCUCACCAUUUGAGCAAUGGGGGGACGCAGGAGGAUAGGGUAAGCGCGGUAUUGGAUAUCCGCGUCCAAGCAGUUAGGCUGGGAAAUAGGCAAAUCCGUUUCCCGUGAAGGCUGAGCUGUGAUGGCGAGCGAAUUAUAGUAGCGAAGUUCCUGAUUCCACACUGCCAAGAAAAGCCUCUAGCGAGGUGAGAGGUGCCCGUACCGCAAACCGACACAGGUAGGCGAGGAGAGAAUCCUAAGGUGAUCGAGAGAACUCUCGUUAAGGAACUCGGCAAAAUGACCCCGUAACUUCGGGAGAAGGGGUGCUCUGUUAGGGUGCAAGCC